This 1346-nucleotide ribosomal RNA is filed under the name uncultured bacterium. RNAcentral describes it as "partial 16S ribosomal RNA". It matches the Rfam family "Bacterial small subunit ribosomal RNA", at positions 28 to 1381 of the family's 1533-position model. The record is from RNAcentral.
GACGAACGCUGUCGGCGUGCUUAACACAUGCAAGUCGAACGGAAAGGCCCUGCUUUUGUGGGGUGCUCGAGUGGCGAACGGGUGAGUAACACGUGAGUAACCUGCCCUUGACUUUGGGAUAACUUCAGGAAACUGGGGCUAAUACCGGAUAGGAGCUCCUGCUGCAUGGUGGGGGUUGGAAAGUUUCGGCGGUUGGGGAUGGACUCGCGGCUUAUCAGCUUGUUGGUGGGGUAGUGGCUUACCAAGGCUUUGACGGGUAGCCGGCCUGAGAGGGUGACCGGCCACAUUGGGACUGAGAUACGGCCCAGACUCCUACGGGAGGCAGCAGUGGGGAAUAUUGCACAAUGGGCGGAAGCCUGAUGCAGCAACGCCGCGUGCGGGAUGACGGCCUUCGGGUUGUAAACCGCUUUCGCCUGUGACGCAGCGUGAGUGACGGUAAUGGGUAAAGAAGCACCGGCUAACUACGUGCCAGCAGCCGCGGUGAUACGUAGGGUGCGAGCGUUGUCCGGAUUUAUUGGGCGUAAAGGGCUCGUAGGUGGUUGAUCGCGUCGGAAGUGUAAUCUUGGGGCUUAACCCUGAGCGUGCUUUCGAUACGGGUUGACUUGAGGAAGGUAGGGGAGAAUGGAAUUCCUGGUGGAGCGGUGGAAUGCGCAGAUAUCAGGAGGAACACCAGUGGCGAAGGCGGUUCUCUGGGCCUUUCCUGACGCUGAGGAGCGAAAGCGUGGGGAGCGAACAGGCUUAGAUACCCUGGUAGUCCACGCUGUAAACGGUGGGUACUAGGUGUGGGGUCCAUUCCACGGGUUCCGUGCCGUAGCUAACGCUUUAAGUACCCCGCCUGGGGAGUACGGCCGCAAGGCUAAAACUCAAAGGAAUUGACGGGGCCCCGCACAAGCGGCGGAGCAUGCGGAUUAAUUCGAUGCAACGCGUAGAACCUUACCUGGGUUUGACAUGGAUCGGGAGUGCUCAGAGAUGGGUGUGCCUCUUUUGGGGUCGGUUCACAGGUGGUGCAUGCCUGUCGUCAGCUCGUGUCGUGAGAUGUUGGGUUAAGUCCCGCAACGAGCGCAACCCUUGUUCACUGUUGCCAGCACGUUAUGGUGGGGACUCAGUGGAGACCGCCGGGGUCAACUCGGAGGAAGGUGGGGAUGACGUCAAGUCAUCAUGCCCCUUAUGUCCAGGGCUUCACGCAUGCUACAAUGGCUGGUACAGAGAGUGGCGAGCCUGUGAGGGUGAGCGAAUCUCGGAAAGCCGGUCUCAGUUCGGAUUGGGGUCUGCAACUCGACCUCAUGAAGUCGGAGUCGCUAGUAAUCGCAGAUCAGCAACGCUGCGGUGAAUACGUUCCCGGGGCU